Molecule: small nuclear RNA, 162 nt
Organism: Prionailurus viverrinus (fishing cat)
Lineage: Eukaryota; Metazoa; Chordata; Mammalia; Carnivora; Felidae
Product: U1 spliceosomal RNA
Exons: 1
Source: RefSeq, a predicted model, not a curated record
ACCCUUACUGGUAGGAGACAUCCAUGAUCAUGAGGGUGGCUUUCCCAAGGUGAGGCUUACCCAUUGAAUCCAGGAUGUGCUGACCACAAAGAUUUCCCCAAAUGUGUGAAGCUCAGCUGUAUAACUUGUGAUAGUAGGGGAUUGCAUUUGUGCUUUACCCUG